Molecule: ribosomal RNA, 253 nt
Filed under: uncultured bacterium
Lineage: Bacteria
Description: partial 16S ribosomal RNA
Rfam family: Bacterial small subunit ribosomal RNA
Source: RNAcentral
GACGUAGGGCGCAAGCGUUGUCCGGAUUUAUUGGGCGUAAAGAGCUCGUAGGCGGCUUGCCACGUCUGCCGUGAAAACCAGCAGCUUAACUGUUGGCUUGCGGUUGAUACGGGUUGGCUGGAGUUCGGUAGGGGAGACUGGAAUUCCUGGUGUAGCGGUGAAAUGCGCAGAUAUCUACUGGAACGCCGAUGGUGAAGACGCUCGGCUGGGCCUGUCCUGACGCUGAUGCGCGAAAGCGUGGGGAGCAAACGGG